GGAUGCAGAACUCAAUUGGUAGAGUGUCUCUCUUUUAAAGAGAACAUUUCUGGUUCAAGUCCAGAUCCCCUUG
Gautieria morchelliformis is the source of this 73-nucleotide non-coding RNA. NCBI's taxonomy places the organism in Eukaryota, Fungi, Basidiomycota, Agaricomycetes, Gomphales, Gomphaceae. The record is from the annotation of a GenBank genome assembly.